RNAcentral lists this non-coding RNA (103 nucleotides) under chicken gut metagenome. RNAcentral describes it as "Glycine riboswitch". It matches the Rfam family "Glycine riboswitch aptamer", at positions 9 to 86 of the family's 94-position model. Rfam says of the family: This family represents the bacterial glycine riboswitch. Glycine riboswitches usually consist of two metabolite-binding aptamers domains with similar structures in tandem. The aptamers cooperatively bind glycine to regulate the expression of downstream genes. The record is from RNAcentral.
GAUUCUCUGGAGAGUCUCGAUACGAGCGCCGAAGGUGUACGCGCGCAGAGCGAAAUGUCGUUAAGCGAUGUGUGUAAUCUCUCAGGCAAAAGGACAGAGCAGA